AGUGAACGCUGGCGGCAGGCCUAACACAUGCAAGUCGAACGAGUCGCGGACGGGUGAGGAAUACAUCGGAAUCUCUUAUGGCGUGGGAGAUCACGUGGGGACACUUACGCUCAUACCGCAUACGAUGAAAUGCGCCGAUGUGGGAUUAGCUUGGUGGCGGGGUAAAGGCGCACCAAGGCGACGCGCCGUAGCUGGUCUGAGAGGAUGACCAGCCACACUGGAACUGAGACACGGUCCAGACUCCUACGGGAGGCAGCAGUGGGGAAGAUUGGACAAUGGGCGCAAGACUGAUCCAGCCAUGCCGCGUGGGUGAAGAAGGCCUUCGGGUUGUAAAGCCCUUUUGUCGGGGAAGCGUUACCCAAAGAAUAAGCACCGGCUAACUCCGUGCCAGCAGCCGCGGUAAUAC
This 406-nucleotide ribosomal RNA is filed under the name uncultured bacterium. RNAcentral's name for it is "partial 16S ribosomal RNA". It matches the Rfam family "Bacterial small subunit ribosomal RNA", at positions 29 to 526 of the family's 1533-position model. The record is from RNAcentral.